Molecule: non-coding RNA, 73 nt
Organism: Podarcis lilfordi (Lilford's wall lizard)
Lineage: Eukaryota; Metazoa; Chordata; Lepidosauria; Squamata; Lacertidae
Source: the annotation of a GenBank genome assembly
GCCUGGAUAGCUCAGUUGGUAGGGCAUGAAGCUCUUAAUCCCAGGGUCAUGAGUUCGAGCCCCACCUUGGGCA